Nicotiana tabacum (common tobacco) is the source of this 1078-nucleotide non-coding RNA. The record is from RefSeq and is a predicted model, not a curated record. Lineage: Eukaryota; Viridiplantae; Streptophyta; Magnoliopsida; Solanales; Solanaceae.
AAUCGGCGCAAACACUGUUCUUCUUCUCCAAACAACCGAAUCCAUUCUCAAAAAUUGCCAAAAUUCAGGCGAGUGAAACCCAAACUCACAUCACACAUUUUAUUUUCUCUCCUCUUGCCAUAGCGUAACCGUUUCUGAUAGAUUCCCCCUCCCUCACAUGCUUUCUUUGAUUUUAGUUCGGAUUUUUCACUCUUCAGAUGAAAAUAAGGAAAAAUAGGGAGCGUUAGAUUGGAUUCGAGCUAAUAUACUCCCUCCAUUUGUCCCUCUUUCAUCAGAAACGGGGUAAGAAAUCAGUUUGGGGGAGGAUUUUUUGUUUAGAGGGGUUUUCGUGGAGAGAAAGAAAGAAGAUACGAGAAGACCUGAAGGUCUAUAAAAGGUGAGAACGUUUUCUUAUUCUGGGGAUUUCUUUUGGAGAAUAUUUGGGGAAAAGAUUUGAGAGAGAUUUCGGAAGAAAGUUAAAAUUAGGUUUCGAGAUUUUUCUUCUUCAUUUUUUAUUGUUCUUUUAUUUCUGGUACUAGAAUAGAAGAAAAAAAAUCACUGAAUGUUCUGCUAUUUCAUUUCUAUGUCGAUUAUUGUUUAACAUUUUUUGAAAUCUCUAGAGUCCAUCUUCUUUAUUUUGAUUCUAGAUUUUGGUUUAAAAAUGGAAGUCAUUUGAGAUGUUCGAGUCUGUUGCUGCUCGAGGGUUGAUUUUCAGCUACUAUUUGCUUUCUUUGGGUCGAUUUCAGUGUUGUAUUAAUUCAGUCUCUUAAUUCCAGGGCCCUGCUUACUUUACAUGUUUCAGGAUGAUGUAUGAUACAUGGUAUGUGGUCAGGCCAGGAUGACUAUCUUUCCAAGAUCCAGAUAUCGAUCAUUAGUAGUUGUGCGGGUCAUUGCUGAGGAGACUCAAGGUAAACCUGAUGCUGCGUUCGCAGGCUUCAGAGUCACAUUCUUACUUGUAUUCAACUGUUUUCACUCUUUUUCGAAUAGUUAUACUUAGAAGUGGUAGCUAACUCUGUAGAGCUUAUAACUUGUAUUAUUGGGUUUUGGGAAUUAUAAAUUUUGUAGAGAUUUCUGCUUCAAGACUAUUACAUUUCAUUUA